This 448-nucleotide ribosomal RNA is filed under the name uncultured bacterium. Its description in RNAcentral is "bacterial SSU rRNA". It matches the Rfam family "Bacterial small subunit ribosomal RNA", at positions 330 to 795 of the family's 1533-position model. The record is from RNAcentral.
GCCAGACUCCUACGGGAGGCAGCAGUGGAGAAUAUUGCACAAUGGGGGAAACCCUGAUGCAGCGACGCCGCGUGAGUGAAGAAGUAUUUCGGUAUGUAAAGCUCUAUCAGCAGGGAAAAAAAUGACGGUACCUGAUUAAGAAGCCCCGGCUAACUACGUGCCAGCAGCCGCGGUAAUACGUAGGGGGCAAGCGUUAUCCGGAUUUACUGGGUGUAAAGGGAGCGUAGACGGCAGCGCAAGUCAGAAGUGAAAGCCCGGGGCUCAACUCCGGGACUGCUUUUGAAACUGUGUGACUGGAGUGCAGGAGAGGUAAGCGGAAUUCCUGGUGUAGCGGUGAAAUGCGUAGAUAUCAGGAGGAACACCAGUGGCGAAGGCGGCUUACUGGACUGUAACUGACGUUGAGGCUCGAAAGCGUGGGGAGCAAACAGGAUUAGAUACCCCUGUACAC